CUCAUAUCUGUGCUGUGUGACUGUAGAUCUGUCUAUGAUUGAGGAAGGAUGUUAAUGAGCUCUGCGCUUGUUAACUGAAUCGGAUUUCUACUCAUUUCAAAUCCACCGAAACUCUAUAAGGGGUUUAUCAGCAGAUAUAAAGAGACACAGACAGUAUAACAGCCUCUGAUCGGACCUUUUACAUCUCUCAUAUCUGUUUCAGAUGUUCAGGCACGAGAUCAUCAUCAUCAUCAUCAUCAUCAUCAUCAUCAUCAUCAUCAUCUUCAUCAUCAUCUUCAUCACAGGAAGAACUGGGAUUCAGGAUUCUCAUCGUGUCUGCUGGGAAGUUGGACCCAGCGCUGACUGAAAUUAAGGACACGACCACCACAUAAGAAGCUUACAGUAUUUAAUCUGCAAUUCCUAAAACACACACACACACAUACACACACACACAAACACACACACUCACACAUGUUUGUUUUUGUGUAAAGUGUGUUCAUCCCAUAGGUGUAAUGGUGUUUAUUCUGUAGAAACUGUAUAUUCUCUCUCCCUUCACCAACCCUACACCUAACCCUAACCCUCACAGGAAACUUUGUGCAUUUUUCUUUCUCAAAAAAACUCAUUCUGUAUGAUUUAUAAGUGUUUUGAAAAAUGGGGACAUGGGUUAUGUCCUCAUAAGUCACCCUCUCCUUGUAAUACCUGUGUCAUACCAAUGUCAUUACACACACACACACACACACACACACACACACACACACACACACACACACACACACACACACACACACACACACACACACAGGUGGUAAUUCUGCAGGCUUGGAUUGAAUUGUAGGGUCACAUUUGUCUCCGUUGCUGCUGUGGUGGAAGUGUUGUUUAAGUCGGUUCUGAUUAUGGUCUGAAGAUGUUAGUCUAAUAGCUCUGUAUGAUGACUCUGUAUAGUGUAAGUGUGUGAAAGACUCUUUCACGUCUGGUAUUGAGGUUUUGGAGCGCUGUGAACUCAAUCCUGGUGGUUUCUGUAGAAUCUGGUCAAGGCCUCUAAAGCAGAGCGAGAAACCCCCUGUAGAUCUGACUGGAGCUAAACGCUCACCACAUCAGUGAAGCUGCUCAAAACUAGAGUGUACUUCGAUCUCAGACUCUUCAGGCUGUUCACGUCACACAGAAUUGCUUGUGCAAUAAAUGUGAAUGUGUCUGUGAGAUUAAUACAGCAUGCAUUAGUUAGAUGCUUUUAUCCAAAGUAACCCUCAUUGCAUUCAACGUUUACAUUUGAUCAGUUCAUGCAUUGCAUGGGAAUCGAACCCAUGACCUUGUGUUGCGAGCGCCAUGUUCAAACAUCAUCUGUGUAAAUCUGCUCUCUCUAACACCCUAUCAUUGGUAUUUACAGCACUGGAUACACACGCAUAAUACACACACACACACACACACAGUUCAGCCGAUUUGUCAUAAUAUGCUUUAUCUGAAAAGUAAGUAUCUUACCUCGGGAUAAAGAGGGGAAAGAGGCAUUUGUAGUGAGAUUGUGAGCAGAGGACGCGACAGAGACAGACAGCAGGAGUGAAACCGGACGAGACAUACACGUUUGUGUGAGGAGUUUGUGUUUUGGUGCAGAGAAGAACCUGUGAAGAAGCAGACAGACAGAGACGCAGGGUUCUUUACACUGGAUUCUAGAUGUUUCUUCUUCAAUGCCGCCCAGACUCUUCUAGUGUUUGAAGGAGGUUUUCAGGAUAUUUUUCCAAUUUUAUGAGACGGAUAACUCACCCAAACUGAAGAUUCUCCUAUUCAAGGCAAAACAAAAACACACACAUAACCAUACAUCCCCAGUUGAUUGACAUUAAGAAUUGCAAAAAUAAUUUGUAUAUUAUUCUUUUGUUUAAAUGUUGUCUUCAAAUGCCGAUGCACAGAUUUUCCAAAAUAAAAGUCUGAACACUGGAUAAAGCCAGGUUAAAAAUUCAA
Long non-coding RNA from Carassius gibelio (silver crucian carp), 1929 nucleotides. RefSeq lists it as uncharacterized. Lineage: Eukaryota; Metazoa; Chordata; Actinopteri; Cypriniformes; Cyprinidae. The transcript has 3 exons. The record is from RefSeq and is a predicted model, not a curated record.